UAGUGACACAGAGAUUGGAGUGGCAAAUCCCUUUCCCCCAUUAUGAUUCUGCCUUGGGUCAUAUUUCUUCAUUUGUACAAGCUGCUGUGUUGCUUCCAGGCUGUUGAGAUCCUGAAGACAGCUCGUGAAAUCAGCAUGCGUGUCCGCUUCUUUCCCUACAAUUAUCAUCGCCAAAAGGAGCGGACUGUGCACUAGAGACUUGCAGCCCACAGCCCUUCAUGUGGACUCUGCCACGACUGCUAACUAGACUUCAGGGGAGCUACUUAUACUUUCAGCACUUCCUGUAAUAGUGAAGUUGAUAGGAUGGGGAGACAGCUAACCAACUGCAUUACCCAAACUGUAUUGCACUUUUGGUUCCCUAGUUUUCUAGGUGAGCUUCAUUCCCUGAAAGGAGAAGGAUGAUGAUAUCUAGGCAUAACCUAGCCUGUGAGGAAUGUAGUUAGGAAAGACAACUGACAUUUAUUGAAUACCAUGUACUAGUUCCUUACACAUGUCAUAUUUUAAUUAUGAAAAUCAGUAGCAAAAAGAAUCUUGGGGAUUUCCCAUCUGACUUGCCUGGCCAUCGCAUCCCAUCCUUGUACUACCAGAGGUUUCAUACACUUUGGAGACUCCAAUGAGACCGUUUUCACUUAUUCCUCCUCUUAGCCUCUCCCCUCAAAAGUAAAACACAGUGCUGAAGAAA
Molecule: long non-coding RNA, 682 nt
Organism: Cebus imitator (Panamanian white-faced capuchin)
Lineage: Eukaryota; Metazoa; Chordata; Mammalia; Primates; Cebidae
Exons: 2
Source: RefSeq, a predicted model, not a curated record